Molecule: long non-coding RNA, 559 nt
Organism: Arabidopsis lyrata subsp. lyrata
Lineage: Eukaryota; Viridiplantae; Streptophyta; Magnoliopsida; Brassicales; Brassicaceae
Exons: 2
Source: RefSeq, a predicted model, not a curated record
ACCAAAAAGAAACAUUGGUUUGCUUUGAUUUCUCAAGGAAGAAGAGAGAAUAAGUGAUGUUGGAGAUUAGCAUUCUCUCAGAAUUGGGCUGCAAUAGCCGAUUUCCAUCUUUGAACCUGCAAUCCUGCAACUCGAGAACAACAUGGAAGAAGAAGAGGCAAGCUUUGUCUUCUUUGAAGCCUCUACUAUCUUUUUAAUUCUCCUCCUAAUGCAGAACCAGUUUAUGGAGCGAGAAGCAGAUUCUCAAAAUUUGACGUCUACAUCUACAACUCCAUGGCUCUGAGGUGAUAGAAUCUGCUAUGUCGGUUACCCGUACUUGAGCUUAAUGUCUCUCCCUCACAAAGAUUGUAGUAAUAUUUUCUCAGCUUUUUAGUUUUGUGAUAGCAAAUCUGAUAGAAACUGCAACCAUAGGGGUGUGUUUCCAGAGAUUUUACCACCUCUUACGAUACACUACUCUGUUUAAAUCUUUGACAGGUUCAUAAGGUGGGUGAGUUAAGCAUCUCAUGUCUCUCUGUUCUUAUUAUUACUAGUGAUAAUAAUAAACUUGAUAUCUUAUAAA